RNAcentral lists this ribosomal RNA (434 nucleotides) under uncultured Ruminococcus sp. Its description in RNAcentral is "partial 16S ribosomal RNA". It matches the Rfam family "Bacterial small subunit ribosomal RNA", at positions 341 to 792 of the family's 1533-position model. The record is from RNAcentral. Lineage: Bacteria; Bacillati; Bacillota; Clostridia; Eubacteriales; Oscillospiraceae.
ACGGAAGGCAGCAGUGGGGAAUAUUGCACAAUGGGGGCAACCCUGAUGCAGCGACGCCGCGUGAGGGAUGAAGGUUUUCGGAUUGUAAACCUCUGUCAACAGGGACGAAAAUGACGGUACCUGUGAAGGAAGCUCCGGCUAACUACGUGCCAGCAGCCGCGGCAAUACGUAGGGAGCAAGCGUUAUCCGGAAUUACUGGGUGUAAAGGGAGUGUAGGUGGGUUUGUAAGUCAGAUGUGAAAUAUACCGGCUCAACUGGUGGACUGCAUUUGAAACUGCUGUUCUUGAGUGAAGUAGAGGAAAGCGGAAUUCCUAGUGUAGCGGUGAAAUGCGUAGAUAUUAGGAGGAACAUCAGUGGCGAAGGCGGCUUACUGGGCUUUAACUGACGCUGAGGCUCGAAAGCGUGGGGAGCAAACAGGAUUAGAUACCCUGGUA